RNAcentral lists this ribosomal RNA (429 nucleotides) under bacterium. Its description in RNAcentral is "partial 16S ribosomal RNA". It matches the Rfam family "Bacterial small subunit ribosomal RNA", at positions 355 to 776 of the family's 1533-position model. The record is from RNAcentral.
UAGGGAAUCUUCCACAAUGGACGCAAGUCUGAUGGAGCAACGCCGCGUGAGUGAAGAAGGUUUUCGGAUCGUAAAGCUCUGUUGUUGGUGAAGAAGGAUAGAGGUAGUAACUGGCCUUUAUUUGACGGUAAUCAACCAGAAAGUCACGGCUAACUACGUGCCAGCAGCCGACGUAAUACGUAGGUGGCAAGCGUUGUCCGGAUUUAUUGGGCGUAAAGCGAGCGCAGGCGGAAGAAUAAGUCUGAUGUGAAAGCCCUCGGCUUAACCGAGGAACUGCAUCGGAAACUGUUUUUCUUGAGUGCAGAAGAGGAGAGUGGAAUUCCAUGUGUAGCGGUGGAAUGCGUAGAUAUAUGGAAGAACACCAGUGGCGAAGGCGACUCUCUGGUCUGCAACUGACGCUGAGGCUCGAAAGCAUGGGUAGCGAACAGG